Molecule: long non-coding RNA, 711 nt
Organism: Lates calcarifer (barramundi perch)
Lineage: Eukaryota; Metazoa; Chordata; Actinopteri; Centropomidae
Exons: 3
Source: RefSeq, a predicted model, not a curated record
GUGGGCACUGAAAUAUUCCUAAGCUGUUCUCAGUGUAUAAAUAGUCAAGUUUACUCAAGACUCAUUUCACAAUCACAGCGUUCACAGUCCACUCGACAAACACAGGAGUGAAAAUGAGAGAAACUUGUGAGUGUUUGUGCGUCUGAGUGUUUAUUUCAGGAACAUAAGGAGAGAUGAAUGGCAGCUGAGAUGGAUCAAAGAGAGCAGAGGGAGUGGACGUUGAUCACAAAAGGAAUGCAGGAUGUCAGAUCAGGUUCCUGUAAUGUCACAGAUGAAAAGAGAGAGAUACUGUUACCAGACCAGAGGGCGAGAGAGAAAAGAAGAGACGUUUUGAGGCGUUUGAAACCUUCAUAAUGAGGCUGGAGACAGUAACCUGUGAGGUCACACCACCAUGUAACAGGAUCCUCCCAGAGCUCGGGCUGAUUUGGAGAACAAUGCAGGAGGUGUAACACGUCCAUGUUGUUUUUUAAACAGCCUCAGUAAACUACGAUAUGAUCUUUGUUGCCGAAAACCAACUCAGAUGGACUCACUUACAGGUGAAACUCUCAGAGAGGAAUCAGUUUCAGACAAGGAAGGAAAACAACAACCUGAGAGGAGAAGAAAGAGGAACCACGCUGGCAGAAAUUCAGACUGAAAAUUAAAGUUUGUGCUAUUUUCAUAGUGUUUAAUAUGUGUCAUUUUUUCCUUUCAAACUAUAUGUGAUCUCAUAUG